AUAAAAUGCUAUCUGAUGAAGACUGAAUUAAAUCGUUAGUGUGAAGGCUUUACUUUGUGUCACGAUUUAAAGGUAAAGCUGCUCCCUCGAGACUCCGGGCAGGAGUCUACAGGUCUAUACGUAACGAUGUUCGAUCUGUACGCGACCGUCGAGUACAGGUAGCGCACGUCGAGCAACGCGCGUCUCAUCGCGAAGCGUGGACGACGCACGUCGACGGCGGCGGAGGAAGGAGCUCGUCUGGAGGCCUCGGACGGAUCCCGACCGAGGCGGAGCGGCCCGUCAGAGCGCCGUCCGAAGGGGCGAGCGCGUGCGCCGGACCGGAAGGCGAGGCGACGACUCGUCGGCGGCGAGAGACGUCGAUCGAUCUGCGAACGACUUUAGGGCAAGCGCGAGACCCGAUCGGACGGCGGUGACCCAGCGGGUAGACCUUCGGGCCGUCGACCGGAAGAUCGGCGGUCGAAGUCGGGGCUCUGCCACGCGGCCACCGCCGGGUCCUCGAGCGAGACCCGCCCGCCGCGAGACGGCCGACCCCGCGCUCUGACCGCGGCUUCCGAACGAGCUGGGAUACAUGUACGUAUACGUACGGAGAGCUACCGCCGAGGGCCAUCGGCAGCAGUAGCGGCAGCAGCACGGGAAAACAACAUGGGAAAAGCCGGAGAAAACGAACGGGUCCGACCGACACACUCUGGACCGAGCCUCGAGACACGCCGUAGACGAGGUAGGA
Long non-coding RNA from Trichomycterus rosablanca, 724 nucleotides. RefSeq lists it as uncharacterized. The record is from RefSeq and is a predicted model, not a curated record. The transcript has 4 exons. Lineage: Eukaryota; Metazoa; Chordata; Actinopteri; Siluriformes; Trichomycteridae.